RNAcentral lists this long non-coding RNA (801 nucleotides) under Mytilus galloprovincialis (Mediterranean mussel). The record is from RNAcentral. Lineage: Eukaryota; Metazoa; Mollusca; Bivalvia; Mytilida; Mytilidae.
CGGCUGUGAUGUGGGAAACAAAAUGUAUUAUCUCUCAAUAAAUUAUAAUAUAACAAGAAGCCUGUUAUGCUAUGGAAAUAAAUAAAUAUCUCAUAUUCAUGAUUAAAAGUGAGAGAAGCAAUUGAGUUGAGAUGACCAAUGAUAAACUGUUUAUCGCUAUUUUAUCUAUGACAACGUUGUUAAUUUCAGUGACAAUGGCACAUGCACCCUUAUUUUUCAGCGAUAGUUUUUCUUAUCCCCAGCUUAGUAUAUUUCUAGGAUUUUGAUUGGUUAACGCACAUCGUUACAAAACCCAUAUCCCCGGACAUUGCAACCCAUUAAAUCCCGGAAAUUCACACGUGUUUUCCUUAGUUCCAUGGUUGUUCCUUAUAAAAUAUCAAAUUCUGUAGAUUAUCCAUGAUGUCUGUAUAAUUAGAUACUUAAUCAACUAAGGAUUUUAUCUUAUUAUGUCGAUUAUUUGUACUCAUUUUAAUAAAUGCAUCACUAUUCUGUCACAUUGUCAAUGAAUGGGACUACUGACCUAGCAAUGCAAAUGACCCACGUUGACGUCACAACGUCUAUGAUGUAACUCUCACAACUUGGAGCGCCAAAUUUGACCCAUUUCACCUUCUUCGUCUUAAGAUUAAAAAAACGUCUUACAUUUGUCUACCUGUAGGGUUCUUCCAAAGGUAAUACCCUACACCCUGUUAAAAAUAGGUCAAAAUCACAAAUUUCAGUAAAAGAUAUUUAAAAAAUGGAAAAAACGUUACUUUCACGUUACACUUUGUGGUCUAAUUUCUCUAAAAAUCGCCAGAUUUAGAC